This is a non-coding RNA of Helianthus annuus (common sunflower), 73 nucleotides long. The record is from Rfam. NCBI's taxonomy places the organism in Eukaryota, Viridiplantae, Streptophyta, Magnoliopsida, Asterales, Asteraceae.
GGGUGUAUAGCUUAGUUGGUAGCGCAUCAGGAUAUUAACCUAAUGGUUGCAAGUUCUGGUCAUGCUAUACCCA